GUGUUUAAGAUUGAACUGUAAGAUUAAUGGAGCAAACUUCAGAAGAAGUUACUCCUCCAAAAAUAGGUGUAUGCCGUUUGAAGUGGAGAGCACACGGUAUUCUUUAGUAAAAGGCGAAAGAAUAGUUCGCUUUGUGCUCACCACACGGCUCCAAG
This 155-nucleotide small RNA is filed under the name Arabidopsis thaliana (thale cress). Its description in RNAcentral is "ATSL148130". Lineage: Eukaryota; Viridiplantae; Streptophyta; Magnoliopsida; Brassicales; Brassicaceae. The record is from RNAcentral.